Felis catus (domestic cat) is the source of this 629-nucleotide long non-coding RNA. RefSeq lists it as uncharacterized. Lineage: Eukaryota; Metazoa; Chordata; Mammalia; Carnivora; Felidae. The record is from RefSeq and is a predicted model, not a curated record. The transcript is spliced from 2 exons.
GCCCCAGGAGUUGCUUUUUUUUUUUUUUAUGUUUUGUUUUGCUUUGUUUCAGUGAAAUGGGAAUGUCCUGAGCUAAGAUGUUCCACCAGCCCAGAAGAAGCCCUUAAAAUGAGAAUGCCUGUUCGAGAGGACUCAGAAAAGAUGAACUAAGAAUCCCUGGUGAGGGGCUCGGGUAGAAGUGGUGAGCUCCACCCUGGUUUCAGGUUUAGAGAUUAGUGUCACCGGCGCUUCCUCCAGGCUGUCUCCCGGCUAGCUCCCUUCAGCUGAACAGUUGAGGGUGGAUGUUGGGCUUUUGUUCGCAAGGAAUGAGGAAAAAAAGACUACCCAGACAAGACCAAAGUUUGCUUCCUCCUCCUCCAUAUGAAUUCGUUGGAAUGAAGGCCAGCCCUGAUUCGGCUACAGAGGGAACAACAGCAUGAAUGCCGGGAGCCAUCGGAGAGGCUGGUUCUUGACGAUGUCAGGAUGCCCUCUGAAACAAUGUAACCAUAAUUUCUUAGCAUCAUCAACUAUGGAGCCACUGUCUAGACUUUUCUCAACUGUUUGCUUCAAUCAGGAUCCAAAUAAGUUCCAUAUAUUGUAAUUUGUCAUUAUUUCUCUUAAGCCCCUUUUAAACUAUAGAUUCCUCCUUC